Aricia agestis (brown argus) is the source of this 96-nucleotide long non-coding RNA. RefSeq lists it as uncharacterized. The transcript is spliced from 4 exons. NCBI's taxonomy places the organism in Eukaryota, Metazoa, Arthropoda, Insecta, Lepidoptera, Lycaenidae. The record is from RefSeq and is a predicted model, not a curated record.
UUUACAUUUUUGAAAAUGCCUCAAUUUGUUUGGAUUUUAUAAUUUUAUAAUAGGUGGAUUCUGGUAAUUUAAACUCCCUCUGAAUUUCAUUUCGCG